Molecule: non-coding RNA, 204 nt
Filed under: Kaistia sp.
Lineage: Bacteria; Pseudomonadati; Pseudomonadota; Alphaproteobacteria; Hyphomicrobiales; Kaistiaceae
Source: RNAcentral
GCCAGAACGGUCGGCGGUGGUUCCCGCAAGGGAUCAAUAGGGAACGCGGUGCGUUCGCUUCGGCGAGCAAUUCCGUGGCUGCCCCCGCAACUGUGAGCGGCGAGCUUUCGACCAAGAUGCCACUGGGCACCGCGAGGUUCCUGGGAAGGCGGGCGGAGGCUGGGACCCGCAAGUCAGGAGACCUGCCACCAGCCGCGGUCACGC